This is an RNA transcript of Crotalus tigris (Tiger rattlesnake), 3317 nucleotides long. It is a transcript of the gene named opsin 3, with no coding region annotated. NCBI's taxonomy places the organism in Eukaryota, Metazoa, Chordata, Lepidosauria, Squamata, Viperidae. The transcript has 5 exons. The record is from RefSeq and is a predicted model, not a curated record.
UUCCCGGGCAUCCAACUAUGUACUCUGGGAACAGCAGCCGCGGCAGCAGCCUGGAGCCCACGCCGGGGGAACAGGACCUGGAACGACGACGGCAGCAGGCGGCGGGGGACUUCGGGACUCCGUUCAGCGCCAGGACUUAUGAGUUGCUAGCUCUGCUUAUCGCCACUAUCGGCCUCGUAGGCUUGUGCAACAACUUGCUGGUCCUGGUGGUUUACACCAAGUUCAAGCGACUCCGCACGCCCACCGGUCUCUUCCUGGUGAACAUCAGCCUCAGCGACUUGCUGGUGUCGUUUUUCGGCGUCAGCUUCACUUUCCUCUCCUGCCUUAGGAAUGGUUGGGCCUGGGACGAGACCGGCUGCAUGUGGGACGGCUUCAGCAACAGCCUCUUCGGAAUUGUUUCACUUAUGACUCUCACUGUCUUGGCCUAUGAACGGUACAUUAGAGUAGUGCAUGCAAGAGUGAUUGAUUUCUCGUGGUCUUGGAGGGCAAUCACAUAUAUCUGGCUUUACUCCUUAGCCUGGACAGGAGCACCUCUUCUUGGCUGGAACCAUUACUCGCUAGAACUUCAUGGAUUAGGUUGUUCAGUGGACUGGAGUUCAAGAGAACCCAGUGAUACUUCCUUUGUCCUCUUUUUCUCUUUUGGUUGUCUAGUGGUACCACUUGGAAUUGUGGUCUACUGCUAUGGACAUAUUCUUCAUGCAGUACGAACGUUUCGUUGUGUGGAAGACUUGCAAACUGUCCAUGUGAUCAAAAUCUUAAGAUAUGAGAAGAAAGUGGCUAAAAUGUGUUUCUUAAUGAUAACCACUUUUCUUAUUUGCUGGAUGCCAUAUACUGUGGUUUCACUUUUAAUAGCCUAUGGUUAUGGUCACCUGAUAACUCCAACAAUGGCUAUUAUCCCAUCUUUCUUUGCUAAAUCAAACACUGCCUACAACCCAGUUAUUUUUAUUUUCAUGAAUAGAAAGUUUCGACAGUGCCUUAUGCAGCUUGUCUGUAUUCACUUCUUGAGGUUUCAGAGGAUUUUGAAAGAAAAGCCAGCCAUCAGGAAUGAAACGCCAGUAAGACCUAUUGUUGCGUCGCAGAAGGUGAGGAACAGGCCCAAGAAAAAAGUGACAUUCAGCUCUUCCUCGGUCAUUUUCAUUAUCACCAAUGAUGAAACACAACAAAUAGAUGACAGUUCCAAAGUCACAGGCACAAAAGCAAACAUGAUCCAAGUGAAGUCUUUAUAGCAGAUGGCCCAGAAAUUGUUCUGGUUUAAGUUGGCAUCUGCUAACAAAACUUUGAGGGGCACAAUUUGCAAGACAAUACUAUCUUAUAUGAAAUACUUUUCCUGUGUGCAUUCCUAUAAUUUGCCAAGGAGCCCUACAAACCUCAAUGCAGUAUUAUUUUGCAUAAUUUUACUGAAUUGUACUAUCGGUGACUCAAAGCUCUGUUGUAACUGCCUGAGAUUGUGACAUAUGCCUGAAAGAUGGAUUUUUAAACCUAUUUUUCUUUAUCGUCUCUCAAUUACCUUCAACUCCCUGCAGGAAAUACACCAUUGUGACUUUUGUAGUCUGGUUUAUGACUCAUGUAGAUGCAGAAACAUGCACAAAGUAGAGGAAACCCAAUUGCCAUAGAAAAUUGCCUCAUAGUAGGCAUGCUUUCCACUGUUAAAACUCAUCCCUCAGCAUGAGGUAAGAAAUGUGAAGCACUUGAGAACCAGUAUUAAAUUACAACUGAGCUUGAUAGUGAUGAUGAAUGUUUUCAAACCGUAGCACUGUAUUCUUAAAUAUCCACAGUCACUUGUUACAAAACUAGAUGGUGAUGUGGAUACAGUCAGCCUUCUCCAGCUUGGUAUCUUCCAGACAUGUCAGAUAAUAAUUUUCAGUAAUCCUGACCAGAAAAAAUGAUAUUCUUGCUGUGGUGUGUUGGGCAGCUAUUUAAUUCAAUAAAUCAUUUUGUGAUUUAACCAUGUUUUAACUAAACUUUGGGAGGCUUUUCUAUGUGAGUAGACCCAGAAAAACAGUUAUUUUGUGAGGUUAAGAGCCAAAUGAUACUCAAUGCCCUUACUUUAUUGUUCCUAAUCAGAAGAAUUAAGUAAAGAGUGUCCCUGCAAUUCUAGAAACCAUCAUUCUGAAUCUGCAGAAUCUUAAUCAUGAAGGGAUGUGUUUUUCUGAGAAUGGUAGAAAGUUAAUUCUCCCAUCCAGGACAGGUAAUCCUCAUGUAGCAACCAUUUGCUUACUAUCUGUUUGAAAAUAGUGCUUUAAAAAAUAGACUUGCUGCUGGGUCCUGAAAUUACAGUUGCUAUAAGGCUUCUGGAGUCAUGUAACCAACAUUCAUCUACUUUGGAAGUAGCAGUUAUUUUCAGCCAUCACAAGGCCUCUGGCCACAUGAGCAACAUUUGGUACCCACAAGCAACACCUGCUUAUGACCUUUGCUUUCCUGCAGUCACGUGAGCAAGCAACAUCUGGGGACUAUGCAGUCAGUGUGAGUUGUUAUCUUGUAGUCAUGUAAGCAAGUGACAUCGGAAGACUCUGUAGUCAGCACACAUUUUUGUCCCAUGUUUUUGCUUGGACCAGCAGAGUGAAAUAGCUUGUGUGCAUAAUGCUGUACUACAUUAUCUUCUAUACUUCUAAAUACUGUGCAAAGAGGUGCGAUGGCUCAGUGGCUUAAUGACGCUAGAGAUGAUCUGUACUCCAGUGGUUUGAGUUCCAGCACUCAGACACCCUACAGGGAUCAUCCACGAAACGGAAAUAUUGCUUAUACUUUGGAUUGAUGAUCAAAUACAAAGAGGAAUCCAAUUAGCCUUCUCAUUUAGGCUAAGACACAUAGCAUUUUCACAGUGCUGAAAGAAAGAGCAGGUGAGGAGUGCCCUGAAGCACUCACUUCCAUGGCUGGCUUGUGUGGUUUUGGCAAAGAUUUCGUUACUGUAGCAUACAUUCAUCAGGUGAAACCACAAGCACUGACAAAAGCUGUCCAACUUUUCCUGCGUGAGUUUGUGGAAAUCAUGACAGACAGAGAAUUACUUCCCUAAAUAGAUAUUCAACGUGGACAAAACAGUUAUUGUGGAACAAAAUUCCAGGUAUCUAGGACAACUUGGCGCAGGCAGCUCAUCGCCACCUGCUCACCACUGCCAAAGUCGCCUCUGCCAACUCACUGCCACCAAGUCAUCGCAGGACAACUCAACAUAGCCAAUUCGCCAGGGGAGAGCCAGAGGGAGAGCAGGACAGACAGGUGAAUGGGCAGAGUGCAGAGCAGAAGCUGGGAUUUCUACUGGAGGCAGAGCCAGGCAGGUGAGUGAGUGGGUGGGCAGAGCGCCAAGCAGUGGUGGCAGCCAGAGG